GUUUAUAGAAGAUGCCAUUACAACCUACCUUGCUAACAUGAUUUGAUUACUUCUCUCUCUUUUAUUUUACAUUUUGCACAGCGGCUAAGUUAUAGUUCCAGUGGUAUAUUCACUUUCAUACUUACUAUUUUCAACGUGUCUGGAUUGUAGUAUGUGCCUAACAGCUUGGCUUGUAUCGAGCGUACAGGCAAGUUGGCCUAUUCUUCACACAUGAA
Molecule: non-coding RNA, 215 nt
Organism: Pelobates cultripes (western spadefoot toad)
Lineage: Eukaryota; Metazoa; Chordata; Amphibia; Anura; Pelobatidae
Source: the annotation of a GenBank genome assembly